This 253-nucleotide ribosomal RNA is filed under the name uncultured bacterium. RNAcentral's name for it is "partial 16S ribosomal RNA". It matches the Rfam family "Bacterial small subunit ribosomal RNA", at positions 524 to 776 of the family's 1533-position model. The record is from RNAcentral.
UACGUAGGGGGCAAGCGUUGUUCGGAAUUACUGGGCGUAAAGGGCGCGUAGGCGGCCUGCUAAGUCGAACGUGAAAUCCCCGAGCUCAACUCGGGAACUGCGUCCGAUACUGGCAGGCUUGAAUCCGGGAGAGGGAUGCGGAAUUCCAGGUGUAGCGGUGAAAUGCGUAGAUAUCAGGAGGAACACCGGUGGCGAAGGCGGCUCUCUGGUCCACAACUGACGCUGAGGUGCGAAAGCUAGGGGAGCAAACGGG